This 283-nucleotide ribosomal RNA is filed under the name uncultured Rhizobiaceae bacterium. RNAcentral's name for it is "partial 16S ribosomal RNA". It matches the Rfam family "Bacterial small subunit ribosomal RNA", at positions 1095 to 1382 of the family's 1533-position model. The record is from RNAcentral. Lineage: Bacteria; Pseudomonadati; Pseudomonadota; Alphaproteobacteria; Hyphomicrobiales; Rhizobiaceae.
AGCGCAACCUCGCCCUUAGUUGCAGCAUUAGUUGGGCACUCUAAGGGGACUGCCGGUGAUAAGCCGAGAGGAAGGUGGGGAGUGACGUCAAGUCCUCAUGGCCUUACGGGCUGGGCUACACACGUGCUACAAUGGUGGUGACAGUGGGCAGCGAGCACGCGAGUGUGAGCUAAUCUCCAAAAGCCAUCUCAGUUCGGAUUGCACUCUGCAACUCGAGUGCAUGAAGUUGGAAUCGCUAGUAAUCGCGGAUCAGCAUGUCACGGUGAAUACGUUCCCGGGCCUU